UGGUGCUGCCUUUGCUAGAAAAUUCAAACAAGAUGACCCUGUCUUGGAUAAGAUUGAUAAGGAUUUACUUGGCCGGAAAAAUGGGGGCUUCACUCCCGGUGGAUGGUGCUCUGAUAGUCCCAAAUGUUCCAAGGUUGGGGACCUGAAUAAUAUUAAACCUGGUCCAGGAGCUGACAGAUUUAAACGACUCAUAGCUAGGGUAGCUUUCAUGUCAAGGCUUAAACAAAAUCAGUGUAAAUAGAUUUCUCAAAAAGUUCAUGCUUGCAGAUGGAGAAGGAUUCAAAGUUCUGUAGGCAAGCCAGACAGCACUUUAUUAGAAGAUUCUUCUCUAAGAAAACGAUUUGGUUGCCCGAGUUGCAGCCACAGUUGCAUUAUUGUCAAGAAUUGAAGGUAUGCUAGUGUCAUUACAAUCAUAAGGAAUCACACUCUUUACUGCAGUGGUCACAGUCUAAU
This 453-nucleotide unclassified non-coding RNA is filed under the name Hevea brasiliensis (rubber tree). The record is from RNAcentral. Lineage: Eukaryota; Viridiplantae; Streptophyta; Magnoliopsida; Malpighiales; Euphorbiaceae.